RNAcentral lists this ribosomal RNA (467 nucleotides) under uncultured bacterium. RNAcentral's name for it is "partial 16S ribosomal RNA". It matches the Rfam family "Bacterial small subunit ribosomal RNA", at positions 29 to 507 of the family's 1533-position model. The record is from RNAcentral.
ACGAACGCUGGCGGCGUGCUUAACACAUGCCAGUCGAACGGAAAGGCCCUGCUUUUGUGGGGUGCUCGAGUGGCGAACGGGUGAGUAACACGUGAGUAACCUGCCCUUGACUUUGGGAUAACUUCAGGAAACUGGGGCUAAUACCGGAUAGGAGCUCCUGCUGCAUGGUGGGGGUUGGAAAGUUUCGGCGGUUGGGGAUGGACUCGCGGCUUAUCAGCUUGUUGGUGGGGUAGUGGCUUGCCAAGGCUUUGACGGGUAGCCGGCCUGAGAGGGUGACCGGCCACAUUGGGACUGAGAUACGGCCCAGACUCCUACGGGAGGCAGCAGUGGGGAAUAUUGCACAAUGGGCGGAAGCCUGAUGCAGCAACGCCGCGUGCGGGAUGACGGCCUUCGGGUUGUAAACCGCUUUCGCCUGUGACGAAGCGUGAGUGACGGUAAUGGGUAAAGAAGCACCGGCUAACUACGUG